RNAcentral lists this ribosomal RNA (991 nucleotides) under Escherichia coli. Its description in RNAcentral is "partial 23S ribosomal RNA". It matches the Rfam family "Bacterial large subunit ribosomal RNA", at positions 199 to 1227 of the family's 2925-position model. The record is from RNAcentral. Lineage: Bacteria; Pseudomonadati; Pseudomonadota; Gammaproteobacteria; Enterobacterales; Enterobacteriaceae.
CAUCUAAGUACCCCGAGGAAAAGAAAUCAACCGAGAUUCCCCCAGUAGCGGCGAGCGAACGGGGAGCAGCCCAGAGCCUGAAUCAGUGUGUGUGUUAGUGGAAGCGUCUGGAAAGGCGUGCGAUACAGGGUGACAGCCCCGUACACAAAAAUGCACAUGCUGUGAGCUCGAUGAGUAGGGCGGGACACGUGGUAUCCUGUCUGAAUAUGGGGGGACCAUCCUCCAAGGCUAAAUACUCCUGACUGACCGAUAGUGAACCAGUACCGUGAGGGAAAGGCGAAAAGAACCCCGGCGAGGGGAGUGAAAAAGAACCUGAAACCGUGUACGUACAAGCAGUGGGAGCACAGAGCAAUCUGUGUGACUGCGUACCUUUUGUAUAAUGGGUCAGCGACUUAUAUUCUGUAGCAAGGUUAACCGAAUAGGGGAGCCGAAGGGAAACCGAGUCUUAACUGGGCGUUAAGUUGCAGGGUAUAGACCCGAAACCCGGUGAUCUAGCCAUGGGCAGGUUGAAGGUUGGGUAACACUAACUGGAGGACCGAACCGACUAAUGUUGAAAAAUUAGCGGAUGACUUGUGGCUGGGGGUGAAAGGCCAAUCAAACCGGGAGAUAGCUGGUUCUCCCCGAAAGCUAUUUAGGUAGCGCCUCGUGAAUUCAUCUCCGGGGGUAGAGCACUGUUUCGGCAAGGGGGUCAUCCCGACUUACCAACCCGAUGCAAACUGCGAAUACCGGAGAAUGUUAUCACGGGAGACACACGGCGGGUGCUAACGUCCGUCGUGAAGAGGGAAACAACCCAGACCGCCAGCUAAGGUCCCAAAGUCAUGGUUAAGUGGGAAACGAUGUGGGAAGGCCCAGACAGCCAGGAUGUUGGCUUAGAAGCAGCCAUCAUUUAAAGAAAGCGUAAUAGCUCACUGGUCGAGUCGGCCUGCGCGGAAGAUGUAACGGGGCUAAACCAUGCACCGAAGCUGCGGCAGCGACGCUUAUGCGUUGUUGG